UACGAAGGGGGCGAGCGUUGUUCGGAAUUACUGGGCGUAAAGGGCGCGUAGGCGGCCGAUCAAGUCAGAUGUGAAAGUCCUGGGCUUAACCUGGGGACUGCAUUUGAUACUGAUUGGCUUGAAUUCGGGAGAGGAUAGCGGAAUUCCCAGUGUAGAGGUGAAAUUCGUAGAUAUUGGGAAGAACACCGGCGGCGAAGGCGGCUAUCUGGACCGACAUUGACGCUGAGGCGCGAAAGCGUGGGGAGCAAAC
This 250-nucleotide ribosomal RNA is filed under the name uncultured bacterium. Its description in RNAcentral is "partial 16S ribosomal RNA". It matches the Rfam family "Bacterial small subunit ribosomal RNA", at positions 524 to 773 of the family's 1533-position model. The record is from RNAcentral.